CUUUACAACCUUAUGCCAACAUCGCACUGGGCCAGUUUGGUAUUUGUAUGGGAGACCGCCAAGGAACACACAGGUGCUGCAGAAA
RNAcentral lists this ribosomal RNA (85 nucleotides) under Gopherus agassizii (Agassiz's desert tortoise). Lineage: Eukaryota; Metazoa; Chordata; Testudines; Testudinidae. The record is from RNAcentral.